Molecule: long non-coding RNA, 575 nt
Filed under: Setaria viridis
Lineage: Eukaryota; Viridiplantae; Streptophyta; Magnoliopsida; Poales; Poaceae
Description: long non-coding RNA (SVIR_LNC000224)
Source: RNAcentral
UUCAUCCUUGUCCUCGUACUUUGGUGCUUUGUGCUCAUGUCCUGAUGAUGGAUGACCUGAUGUGCCUAUUUGCUUUUUUGACUGGCGGCGUUGGAAUAUGAUUCGACUGGCGGCGCGAGCUAGGAACAAAAAACUGCUACCAGGGGUGGAAUACGUUUUGACCUGAUGUGCCUAUUUGCUAAUCUGCUACCAGGGGCGGACUAUUCCAGGGCUAGGACUCCUUAGAGGGGCUUCUAAUUUUUUAUUGGGCCAGCCCGGCAGGCCGCUCGCCAGGGGUGACUGGUGACAGGCCGACAGGCACACAGGCCACCAGGGGGUGCCACCCUGCUAGGAGAGGCCCAGGCCACCAGGGGCAAGGGCGGAUGCUGCAUAGGGUAAGGGGUGCCAGGCCCCCCGUGCCCCCCUCCCUCCGCCACUAUCCUUGUCUACGGGUCAAAAGCCAUACUUCCUACUGACGUCACGUGGAGAUCCCCUGCGGUCAAACAAUACGACGAAGGGGUAGCAGAGGAAACAAGACGCUGAGACCUCGACAAUUUGGAAGAAUUAUGCUGUGCAGCACUCGUACAGUCAGCAAG